CCGGGUGCACCCGCAAGACCUUCCCCAACUACUUCGACGUGCUAAGCACCUUCGUCAAGAACUAGAUGGGGGAAUCCAUGGUCUGAGGAAUUUUUGUCUUUUUCAUCUUCUCGCGAGAUGGUGUAUGAGUCUGUAAUAUUAGUUUUGUAGUGCGUGAGUCCAGAGGUAAAAUGAAAUGUAUUGCACACUAUAUUCGUUUUUUGAAUAAGAAAUAAAUUACUGUUCUGUGAUCUAGAUGCCAUGCUGCUGAUCUUCGGCAUGCCUAUAGGAAAGGGGGCAGCAUUCCCUAAUACUCAAACCUAAAUGAAGUAGUCCAGGUAUGGAUCUCAACAAGAGAUCCUAUGGAGGGAGAGCGCGGUACCGGCAUAGAACAUGAGUGCUCAUUGUUGUUAAUUGUGCGUUAGGCAUGCUAUGAAAGCAUAAUUAGUGUGGCAUUUCAACAGAUACUACUAAUGUGCUGGGCGAAAUAGUUAGCGUAAACAAGCGGGCCCAGUUUGUGUUGCGAAUGGAAUCAUGUGAUGAACAUUUCCUACCCUACAUAAAACAAAUAUUCUAGAGCGCGGAGGUGUAACCUCAUGUCGGAAUGUGCGCAUUUCGCUUCAGUGAGUUUCAGAACACCGAUCGGCGGGGACUAUAUUUGUCUCCCAUAGCGGCUUGCCUGCAAAGGUAUAUUCCAGUCCGGACCGAUCACCGUCCUCGUCACUGCGGUGAGGUGUAAGAAAUGGACUGGUUAACAGACUCCACUUCAUUAUUGUAAAAUCAUUCCCCAUGCCUUCCAAGCCCACACACUUUACAAUGGACACUGUCGCUCGUCUUUUGUUGAUAGUGGAAAUGGACACGUCUCCGUUGCUAAAGGAAAUUGAAAUUGGAGUCAGGAGCCACGGGAGAGAUUGAUAUUUAUUGGUUGGGUGUAUGGUGACAUGAAGUGCCUUGCUGGCCCACCACAUUGCAUAUCUUUUGUGUGCUUCCGGUACUAUUUUAGCACGUGCAUGGCUACACAUCUCUAUUCAGCUUUGAUUUGCUAUCUUCACCUUUAUGCGUAGUAAAAAUCAUAUAUUCGACACAUCAUAGGCCCACGGCUAAAUCAUCGGUCAUCAAACAAGCUACAAAAUCUGGUAUGUAGGGCAACACUAGUAGAAAAAGGGCCUUUAGUUCCGGUUCAUAAGGGCCUUUAGUCCCGGUUCUGGAACCGGGACUAAAGGGUCGUUACUAAAGCCUCCCCCUUUAAUCCCGGUUCUUACAUGAACCGGGACUAAAGGCCCUCCACGUGGCCGCUGCCUGGAGGUCCACCUUUAGUCCCGGUUGGUAUCGGUACUAAAGGAAAUUUUAUGAUUUUUUAUGAUUUUUUUUAUUUUUAAAUUUCUGAAUUAUUUUAACCUCUAAUCUCUAAUCACCCCUCAAUUUAACCUCUAAUCUCUAAUCACCCCUCAUCAUUCCAAAUCAUCUAACUUCCCGGACGGUCCACCCAUCCUCUCACUACUCCAGUCUGAGCACGCUUAACUUCCGGGUUCUAUUCUCCCUCGUUUCCAAGUCUGCACUUGUUGUUUUCCUGACAAUAGUAAGAUGUCAAUCCUAUUAACCCUCAGGAAUUUAGCUUGAGCAUGAAGUCACACAUUUCACUGUUUGAGUUUGAAACUAUUGUUUUAAAAAACAAUAAUUAUUUAUUAACACUAAUAUUUCUUGAAUAAGUAGUUUGACCAUAGUUUGACCACAGUUUGACCAGAUUUGACCAAAAUUCAAAAAAACUGAAAUAAUUAUUUAGUAACACUAAUAUUUCUUGAAUAAUUAGUUUGACCAUUGUUUGACCAUAGUUUGACCAGAUUUGACCAAAAUUCAAAAAAACUGAAAUAAUUAUUUAGUAACAGUAAUAUUCUUGAAUAAUUAUUUAGUAACACUAAUACUUCUUGAAUAAGUAGUUUGACCAUAGUUUGACCAGAUUUAACAAAAAUUCAAAACAAAAAAAAUAGAAAUUUGAGCAUAACUUUUUUUCCUUUUAGAAUUUGAGGAUUCUAAAAAUUUGCAAACAGGCCGUAGGCGGUCAAAAUCGGAUGCGGAUUUUCGUGCUGAACACUAAUAUUAUACUUUUUUUCUGACAUCGUAUGCAAAAGUUAUAGCUGUUUUACAUUUUCCCAACACUUUUUGCAAACUGUCCAAAUUUAAGUUUUUAAAUUUUCCUAACUAGUACAUGUAGUAACAUAACUACAUCUGGAAGGAUUUUAAUUUUUGAAGUUUUUAUCAUUUUCUUUUGCUUUUUACAAAACUGAAAAGGCGAUCCACAGGGGGGGUAGAGUUUGAAAAUGGGACCUUUAGUACCGGUUCGUGCCAUGAACCGGUAUUAAUGCCUCAAACCCCAUUAGUACCGGUUGGUGGCUCGAACCGGGACUAAAGGUCUAACCUUUAGUACCGGUUGGUCCCACGAACCGGUACUGAUGGGCAUCGCACCCUUUAGUCCCGGUUCGUGGCACCAACCGGGACUAAAGGUCCCAUUUGAACCGGGACUAAUGCAUGUACGGUGCCCUAGCCGCUCGAACCGGGACUAAUGCUCACAUUAGUCCCGGCUCGUAAUGCAACCAGGAUUAAUGCUCUUUUCUGGCCGAACCAAAGCCCUGUUUUCUACUAGUGCAACCACAUAGCAUGGGUUCCAUGGACGGCACCAACACACAAAGAGGCGAAAUCAUGAGCAAGUUUACUACAAUCAUGUGGAUAACUCACCCUAAUGGUUUCAUUGAUUUGAAUGGACCGUUGUAGGAAUCCUCAUUCAAUAUAUGAGUCCCUUGGAGGAAAUGGGGAAACAAAUCGAAAGUGAGGAAACAAAUCCAAUUAUUUUAUUUGCAUAGAAGCAGUGACGAUAUCUAGGGAGAGUGUACCACUUCACUCAUGAAGUUAACACAAGUGAGAAUUGAUUUAUGUUAUUCAUAUAAUUCAAAAGAGGAAUAUCAUUUCUCGAGGAAAACUAACCUUCUCGCUAUCGACACAUGUGCGUCUGAGAUUCUUCUUUACAUUCUUGCAUUGAGAUGCCACAACUCUUUCCUAGGGAAUCGGGUAAAUAUGUUGGCUAGUGAAAGCGAGCUAUAUCAGAUCUAAGGAAGAAUGGAGUUUUGCUAGCUCUUUGUUUCCUACAUCCAGUGUAAUUCCCUUCCGAUCCCCUGCGUAAAGGGGUGUCGUGUUCUUUUUACAAUGGGGGUGAUCCCCCAUCCAUGUUUACAUAAGAAAAGGUUGGUUGUAGGAAACCUUUUCUUGCUCAAUCUGUUGCUUGUUAGUUAUGAACAAUAGAAGCCGUUCAACAUGAGCUUCAAUAAGACUAGUCGAGAACCUUUGGCUGCUUGAACAAUUCGAAUGGCACAUAAUUCAUGCUGGGCGGCAAGCAUUGCCUACUCCAAUGCCAUGCAGGCUAGGUAAGGGAACAUUGCAGUUUGCACAAAGAAAAUUGCACAGUACUAUGUGCAAAACAUUUUCUUCCCUUACCCUCGAUGACUAGGGUAAAUUCCCCCCCUCCAGUCUUCGCCGGUGAGCCCAUAGAUUCACCUCCCCUUUGCAUGUCGCUCUGGAGGAUGAUGGCGGGAAGAGGAAUUUCGAUGCCGCCACAUCGGCUAGUAGUUUAGGUUAGAGACUUUUAGUCCUCGCCACACUCGGUAGAUGGAGGUGCUUCUUCUUAGACUUUGUAUUUGGGGCUUUGAUCCUCCUUGGGUUUGUCUGUCCAGACGUAGUCGACGGAGCUCCAGUGUAGAUUUCUGACUUUCUGUCAUCUUAUGACUAUGAUGUUAGGGUCUCUCGCGAUUUGGUGUCACGUGCUUCAGAUCUAUUCAUGGGUUCAACAACGACGAUUACGGCUCCAAGACGAUGGUCCUUAGGGAACAUGCAGGGAGACUUCCUAGCUGUCAUCGGUAAGUUCAAGUCGGGUCGUGCAGGGGAGCGACGACAACGAUGCGUCAGCGGCUCAUUCUGCUGGUGGUAUUGGUCAUUUGGUGGUCCAUGAACUUUGAUAUAAUUUUAGUUAAAAUUGAGAUGCGUUGUAUGAAUUUUUAUAAGUCAAUUACACCGGUCGUGCUAGAACUUGGCGCAAACAGUCACGUUGGUGCUAGAAAUUGCGGCAUAGAUUGAACUGGUGCAAUAAUUUGGCUUGAGCGUGCAAAUACGGUGCAAAUCUCGAUUGUGUAUGCCUGAGCCAUUGACUAGGCGUGCCAGCGUGACGUGGGGCCCGCUGUCAGCCACUGUAAGGCAGAGAGGAGCACGUGUGGCAUUUUUUCUUUGCGAAAACCCCCUCAAAUUUUUUAUUUCACAUAAAAAAGCCCUUGCUUACGCGUUAGAUGGCAUUUAAUUUUUUUCCGCCUCACACAUGGGUCCCACUUGUAAGUAAAGGAAAAUUAAACAUGAAAAUAAACACGUGGGUCCACUCACAUUCUAUUGCACGACAUCGAUAACAAACCUUAAUGUAGUACAAGCUCAAACGCAUGUGGGGCUUAAAUGGGUUGCAAAUAGUGCGGCCCAUUUUGCAUGCAGUAGUUUUUUAAAGAUAUUUUUAAAACAUAAAUAAUAAACAUCAUGUUUAAAUACUCAUGUGUUAUAAAUAUUAUAAUUUUUAGGGGGAUAUAAAUAUUAUACAUAAAACAAACAUUAGUAAAUAAAAGGAUUUAAAUAUACCCCCAUGUAUUAUAUAAAAAGUUUAGUAAAUACGGACAUUUAUUUUUUAUUAAAUAGAAAGGUUUAAUGAAUAAAAAAAUACACACUUUUACUUAUAUUUAAUUAUACAAAAUGAUGAAUACAAACAUUUACUAAAUAUUCAAUUGUGUAUAAGUUUCACUCAUGGCUUAUAUUUGAAAUAUUUAUNNNNNNNNNNNNNNNNNNNNNNNNNNNNNNNNNNNNNNNNNNNNNNNNNNNNNNNNNNNNNNNNNNNNNNNNNNNNNNNNNNNNNNNNNNNNNNNNNNNNNNNNNNNNNNNNNNNNNNNNNNNNNNNNNNNNNNNNNNNNNNNNNNNNNNNNNNNNNNNNNNNNNNNNNNNNNNNNNNNNNNNNNNNNNNNNNNNNNNNNNNNNNNNNNNNNNNNNNNNNNNNNNNNNNNNNNNNNNNNNNNNNNNNNNNNNNNNNNNNNNNNNNNNNNNNNNNNNNNNNNNNNNNNNNNNNNNNNNNNNNNNNNNNNNNNNNNNNNNNNNNNNNNNNNUUUAUUAUAAAAACAUUUUUAAUUCAAAUUUAAAAUAGUAAUACUCAUAUUGUAUUGUUUUAAAUUAUACAUAUAUUUUUAUACAUAAAUAUUGUUUAAAAUAUAUAUGAAUUUUUUCAAAAUAAUACGUGCUUUUUUUAAAAAAUAAGUUAUUUUGAUUGUAUGUAUAUUAGCACAUAUGUCCGUGCGUUGCAACCUGAGAAAAAAUAGUAUGCAUUUAAAGUUAGUGAGAAUUAUAUGUGCAAGCAAAACCCUGUGCGGACAUGAAAAAGGAAUAUUUAGCUUCUCGGUUUUGCUAGGUGUGAAAUAAUCAAUCGGCUAUUUAUCCAUUCAGUGAUCGAGGGCAUUUAAGAGUUUUGUUACAUCACCUUACGCCAGAGAGGGCCCACGAAUUAUUCAUCUAGUUUUCCUUUCAAUCGAGGAGAUUUUAAGGUAUGAAGUUUCUCAAUAUUGUAGGAAACAUGAACCAUUUUUAAAAUCCUGAACAGUGUUUUGAAAAUUAUGUACACUUCCACAAAAACGUGCACAAAAUUUGAAUCAGGAAUAUUUUAAAAUUCACAAACAUUUUUUGAAAGCACCAACUUUUUUUAUAGAAAAAGACCAUUAUGUGAAUUUGUGAACAUUUUUUUAGAAAUGGAACCUGUGUUGAAAAUUCAUAACAUUUUGCGAAAAUGUUUAUCUUUUAACGUUAUUUUUUUUGAGGGACUUUUAACGUUAUUUUGAAUUCUGAAAGACUCACUAAAUCAAGAAUAUUUCAAAAUUUGGAUCAUGUUGAAAUUGUCAUUUUAUUUUUAGAAAUCUUGAACAAUUUUGAAAAACAAUUAAAUUUUCAUAAAAAUGGGAAACUUUUUUCAAGUGCCGAAUAUUUUUCAAAAUAGAAAAAAUUUCGGGUUUCUGAACAUUUAUGUCAUUUGUAUUUUUUAAAAUUUUGAAUGUUUUUUGAGAAUUUUGAAUUCACCAAAUAAUUUCUAUAAGAAAAAUAAACUUGUAAAGUGAAAAAAGAGAUAGGGGAAGGAGAAUAAAAAUAGAAAUAAAACUAAGUAAAAAAUGGGCCAGCCCAUCAUUGGUUGUACCGUGCGAAGUUCCAACUAUUUAUUGCCUUGUGUGGAAAAUGGAUUUUCACACCUGCAUGGACAGAAAAGUAAGUGGGCUGGCUUCGUUGGGCUACAAUGCGCGGCCCAUGUACGAAAUUCAUAAAAAGCCUUUUUUGUCUAGCAGACUACUGAUUAAGGAUUUAGUACCACCUCGGAUAGAAUAUUUUUUUCUUUUUUGAGGUGAACGGAUGAAAUUUUUUGCAAAACACACCUUGCUUUACUAGUCCUAGCACAUAUGCCCGUACGUUGAAACGGGAGAAAAAAAUAGUAUACAUUAAAGUUAGUGAGAAUUAUAUGGGCAAGCAAAGCCAUGUAUGCACGUGAAAAAAAGGAACAUUUAGCUUCUAGGUUUCGCCGGGUGUGAAGUAAUCAAUCCGCUAUUUUUCCAUUCAUUGAUCGAGGACAUUUAAAAGUUUUGUUACAUCAUCGUACGCCAGAGAAGGCCCAUGAAUUAUUCAAUCUACUUUUCCUUUUAAUCGAGGAGACUUUAAGGUAUGAAGUUUCUCAAUAUUGUAGGAAACAUGAACCCUUAUUUAAAUCCUGAACAGUUUUUUGAAAAUUAUGUGCACUUUAAGAAAAUUUUAAAAAGGAUUUUUUUCUAAAAUUCACAAACAUUUCAAAAAAACAACUUUUUUUAUAAAAAUAUGAACAUUAUUUGAAUUUGUGAACAUUUUAUUAUACGGGAACAAGUGUUGAAAAUGCAUAACAUUUUUUGAAAAUAUUUAUCUUUUAUAUGCGAAAGUUAUUUUGAAUUGUGAAAAUUUCACAAAAGCAACAAUAUUUUUCGAAUUUGGAGCAUUUUUUUAAAUUCCGUUAUCUUUUUAGAAAUCUCAAACAACUUUCAAAAAAAUAACUUUUUGGAAAAAAUGGGAAACUUUUUUCAAGUUCCGCGUAUUUUUCAAAAUAGCAACAAAACUUUAGAUUUCUGAAUAUUUCUAAAUUUUGAUUUUUUUAAUUCUGAAUGUAUUUUGAACUUGUGAAAUAAAUUCUAUAAGAAAAUUAAACUUGAAAGGAAAACAAGAAACAGUGGAAGGAGAAUAAAAAAACUAAAACACAGAAACAAAGAAAAAUGGGCUAGCCCAUUAUUGGUUGUCCUGUGCGAAGCUCCGACUAUUUGUCGGCCCGUGCAGAAAAUAGAAUUUUCCCAGCCACGUGGGCAGAAGAAUAAUUGGGUUGGCUUCGCUGGGUCACAGCACGCGGCCCACGUAUGAAAUUCUAGAAAAAGACUUUUUUUUUCUAGCAGACGAACGCAUCAGAAUUUAGUACCACCUCGGAUAGGGAAAAAAAUGCUUUUUCGGUGGUUAACGGAUGAAAAAAUUGGCGAAACGCAACUUGAUUUAUUAGUGGGCGGUAUAGAUAUAGAUAUAGAGGUACUGAUAUAAUAUUUAUACGUCAUGAAUAUUUGAGUGUUAGUUUGAUUACUGCAAUUAGUAUUUACACCCAUUUACAAAUUUCUAAAAGAAACGAGCGGGUGCGAAUGCGCCACACUGAUCGCAGCCCAUUUCAGCUCCAAGACCGCUUUUGUUCAAUUACAAUGUGCAUAGUUGUCCGUUGAAGGCGUGAUCGAUGAAGUUGCUAGGAGUGACUGUGCUAGCUACAGGUCGCUGGUUCGAUAAGCGUAGUACUCCGUUUUGGUUUCAUUUUUCAGAAAAAUGGAAAUGCCACCUCUCCAACAUCAGCAGGUUUUUUUUUGAGAAAUAAAAAAUCGAGAGGUUUUCGAAAAAAAACCGGGCCACAUGCCUUCUGUCCACCUUCUAAUUGCUGACAAGGGGCCCCACACAACGCUGUCACGUCUAGUCAGCGGCUCGAGCGUACACAAUCCAGAUUUGCAUCGUAUUUGCAUCCUCGAGCAAAGUUAUUGCAUCAGUUUAAUGUAUGCCUCAAGCUCUAGCACCGAAGUGACCAUUUGCGCCAAGUUCUACAACCGCCGGGGUAAUUGACUCAAUUUUUAGGACGCCGAUAACCACCACACGUGUGGCACCGAUGCAGCUGGACCGAAUGACUCAUUCGGUAUGAUCGCCUGUUCUUAUAUCUCAGCCUCCUGUUGCAUCCCAGGUGCUUUAUCUUACCCUGUCCUGUGUCCUGUGCCAUAUAGCUGGGAGCAACGGUGGAGGAAGGCCCGGACUACUGCAUCAUCACACCACCAGAGAAGCUGAACGUCACGGCGAUCGACACCUACGACGACCACCGGAUGGCGAUGGCCUUCUCCCUGGCGGCAUGUGCCGAGGUACCAGUCACCAUCAGGGACCCCGGGUGCACCCGCAAGACCUUCCCCAACUACUUCAAUGUGCUAAGCACCUUCGUGAAGAACUAGGCUGGGAAAAUCAACAACGAAUUGCGCUUGUACUAUGUAGCCUGUCCAUGGUUUGAGGAAAUUUUGUCUUAGUCUUGUCGCGAGAUGGUGUAUGAGUCUGUAAUAUUAGUUUUGUAGCGUGUGCGCCUUGAGGUAAAAUGAAAUGUAUUGCACACUGUUUUCUUUUUUGAAUAAGAAAU
Molecule: long non-coding RNA, 8743 nt
Filed under: Triticum aestivum (bread wheat)
Lineage: Eukaryota; Viridiplantae; Streptophyta; Magnoliopsida; Poales; Poaceae
Description: long non-coding RNA (TAES_LNC017397)
Source: RNAcentral